GAUGAACGCUGGCGGCGUGCCUAAUACAUGCAAGUCGAGCGAACAGAUGAGGAGCUUGCUCCUCUGACGUUAGCGGCGGACGGGUGAGUAACACGUGGAUAACCUACCUAUAAGACUGGGAUAACUUCGGGAAACCGGAGCUAAUACCGGAUAAUAUAUUGAACCGCAUGGUUCAAUAGUGAAAGACGGUUUUGCUGUCACUUAUAGAUGGAUCCGCGCCGCAUUAGCUAGUUGGUAAGGUAACGGCUUACCAAGGCAACGAUGCGUAGCCGACCUGAGAGGGUGAUCGGCAACACUGGAACUGAGACACGGUCCAGACUCCUACGGGAGGCAGCAGUAGGGAAUCUUCCGCAAUGGGCGAAAGCCUGACGGGGCAAAGCCGCGUGAGUGAUGAAGGUCUUCGGAUCGUAAAACUCUGUUAUUAGGGAAGAACAAAUGUGUAAGUAACUAUGCACGUCUUGACGGUACCUAAUCAGAAAGCCACGGCUAACUACGUG
RNAcentral lists this ribosomal RNA (497 nucleotides) under uncultured bacterium. RNAcentral's name for it is "partial 16S ribosomal RNA". It matches the Rfam family "Bacterial small subunit ribosomal RNA", at positions 28 to 507 of the family's 1533-position model. The record is from RNAcentral.